RNAcentral lists this long non-coding RNA (200 nucleotides) under Elaeis guineensis (African oil palm). Its description in RNAcentral is "long non-coding RNA (EGUI_LNC053475)". The record is from RNAcentral. Lineage: Eukaryota; Viridiplantae; Streptophyta; Magnoliopsida; Arecales; Arecaceae.
GGGGGAGCCUUUGAGUGUGAGGGGCUACUGGUUUUGAUGCUCUAGGGAUCUUAGGAGAGGUCCCUUUAAAUAGGCAUAAGGAUUGAAUCCUAUUCAAUCUCAUAAUACAAGUCCUACUUGCAUUAAGAUUCCUAUUAACUUAAGUUAUCCAACUUACAUUAGGAAGUCCAUUAGGCACCAACAAUUGGAGCCCUUGCACC